ACUAACGGCCAAAUUCCCCUAAGGAACUUGCCAUAAUCACUCACAUGUGAUUUAUCCUGUAGGUAUACAUGAAACUAAGCACGACCACUUUAUGGUGAAACGAUCAAUAUGUCAUUACUCUCUCUCAUCCAAUGCUACCAACGAUAACGAAUGAAAAAGAGAAGACUAAAUAGUAAUCUUGUAUAUUGUACGUUGUUACGUUGAAGAUGGAUAAAACGUUUUCUGCCAGACAAGUUAAAAAUAUCAAACGGAACACAAAACGAAUUAAAAUAGUGGUGAAUCAAUUGAAUAUCCUGCACCUGUAUGGUGCAGCUCCUAACAAAAUUAUGAGGGUUAUUCCUAGCAUUAUUCAAUCGGUUGGCCACCCGAUUUGGAACAAACAAUGCUCGGAACGAGCCUAUAACAUAUAAUGAAGUAUGAAAAGCCGAUUCUAUGGUACAGGCUUACGAUCAUAUUCGUCCAUUGAUGAUACUCAGGAAUGAGUUCAACUGAGACCAUUCCUCUUCCUGGCGAGCGACGCUGCUCUCAUGCUCUCUACACUUCUCCGACGUCUCAACGCCUCGUGAGCACUGCACUUCAAGAGCGCCGUCUUCUCUAUGAGAGGGGUGCACACCCUUGGUUGGACGAUGACUUCGUUUUGUUUACAACCAUUAAACGUGGAUAAUAAAAUGCGUUGACUCCUCUCCCGGACGAAGAUCUGCCGCAGAAAAUAUACCUAACACUUUUCCAGAGCUGUCAGCUACUUCAUACGAGCUGGUACCACGCUUUGCAACAAUAACGCAUGGCAAAUACACCGGCCCGUAUUUUGCAUUGUAGCGCUCGGCGGCGGAGGAAUGCUUAAAAUUGCGUUUAUAAACCUUCUGUCCUACUCGAUUCACCACUAGAAAAUGCAACUUUGCGUAACGCGAUCUCGUAUUCUAACUCAUCAUCGAGCAGAUGGUUUACAUUCAUCGAACGAUACAUUCGCACAUACUCCGAAUCCAUUAUAAAUAAGUCUAAAUACUAGGUUAAGAAAUUCAAUAAAGUAAAAUAAAGUUCAAAAAUUCAAUGUAUGUAAUAAAAAAAAAAAUUGACUGUAAGUAAUAAUAAUAAUAAAAUUUAGUUCAAGUACUUAAAAAAAUGCAAAAUAAGGAAAUAAUUCAAUAAACCGUGCUAUAUUUUGCUGUCUUUGUUUCGCUCAUUCAGGACCUUCGAAAAUUUAUUUCAAUGCAAAUAUUUAUAGAUUUAAUUCAACUUAGGUUAGUCACCCGCACCAAUUUCAAACUUGUGUACGUUCCAGAAACCAACCAACCUGCACUGCUUUCU
Molecule: long non-coding RNA, 1305 nt
Organism: Armigeres subalbatus
Lineage: Eukaryota; Metazoa; Arthropoda; Insecta; Diptera; Culicidae
Exons: 4
Source: RefSeq, a predicted model, not a curated record